Molecule: ribosomal RNA, 563 nt
Filed under: Niallia circulans
Lineage: Bacteria; Bacillati; Bacillota; Bacilli; Caryophanales; Bacillaceae
Description: bacterial SSU rRNA
Rfam family: Bacterial small subunit ribosomal RNA
Source: RNAcentral
UCCUACGGGGGAGCAGCAGUAGGGAAUCUUCCGCAAUGGACGAAAGUCUGACGGAGCAACGCCGCGUGAGUGAUGAAGGUUUUCGGAUCGUAAAGCUCUGUUGUUAGGGAAGAACAAGUACAAGAGUAACUGCUUGUACCUUGACGGUACCUAACCAGAAAGCCACGGCUAACUACGUGCCAGCAGCCGCGGUAAUACGUAGGUGGCAAGCGUUGUCCGGAAUUAUUGGGCGUAAAGCGCGCGCAGGCGGUCCUUUAAGUCUGAUGUGAAAGCCCACGGCUCAACCGUGGAGGGUCAUUGGAAACUGGGGGACUUGAGUGCAGAAGAGAAGAGUGGAAUUCCACGUGUAGCGGUGAAAUGCGUAGAGAUGUGGAGGAACACCAGUGGCGAAGGCGACUCUUUGGUCUGUAACUGACGCUGAGGCGCGAAAGCGUGGGGAGCAAACAGGAUUAGAUACCCUGGUAGUCCACGCCGUAAACGAUGAGUGCUAAGUGUUAGAGGGUUUCCGCCCUUUAGUGCUGCAGCAAACGCAUUAAGCACUCCGCCUGGGAGACGGCCCCCGU